AAUAACUCGACACUUCAUCACACUCUCAGUUUCGUGUUGACACUGAACUUCACCUUCAUUUUCGUCUCAUUCAGUGCUAGUGUUUUCCGUGUUUACUUUUUCUUUCAGUGUUUUCAGGUUGGUGUUCCUCCGGGACAUGUUUCCUAUCAGUGGUGUGAGUAAACAGAGGCCUGGGACGGGUAGACGGAGAGGCAAGUCUCGUAGCACCUGCUGCCGGUGUAACCUAGCUGUAAAUAGAUACCUUAGUGUUAGUCGAGCGUCGUUGGUCACAUCCUUGGCAGGACCUUAAGAUCUCAGUAAAAAUAAUUCACACUGUUUGACUUUCUGGAGUUAUCUUGAGCUAUUAACCCUCGGGGGUUGUUAAUAUAAACAUGAUCAACUUCUAUUAGCGUAGGUUAGUUUUCUUAGUUCAGUCUCGCAUUCCACACCGUUUUCUUCAUUCAUACAGAGAGAGAAGGCCGUCAGAUAAGCCUGCGACACUAAUCAAUGCUAGCCUGCAGGUUGCAGCAGCGGGCGGCUACUGCACAGCACUCACACCAGACACUAUCUUCUCUUCCUGUAAGCGGUGAAGGCGUCAUAGAGCGUCUGGGGAAGAGUGAUGCUCUUAUACCACAAGUCGGGCAGCCAUCAGUAAUCAAGGAUCCACUUGUAACUUUAAGAUCUUGGUUGGGUUGUGAAUCCCUUCAAGUGUGAAAUUGUUGAUGUGCCAGAAGAUCCUGAAGGACUGGCAGAGGCACUUCUUGAACUUCGCUCCAACAAUAAAGCAUUGAAUUUCAGAACAAUUCACACCUGUCCAUUUUUUGGAUGUCAAGGUUGAUAAAUGAAUAGGACUGACCACUUCGAGGUCGUCAUAAGCGGGCCAUCGCCCACAACCAGCCUUGGUGGGUAUUUAGACGGCUCUUCGAGGAUAGAACCCUCGAGAGAGGCUGUGAGUGGAUCUAGAGCCGUCAACAUCAAAAGAUGA
Molecule: long non-coding RNA, 964 nt
Organism: Cherax quadricarinatus
Lineage: Eukaryota; Metazoa; Arthropoda; Malacostraca; Decapoda; Parastacidae
Source: RefSeq, a predicted model, not a curated record